Molecule: long non-coding RNA, 1093 nt
Organism: Anolis carolinensis (green anole)
Lineage: Eukaryota; Metazoa; Chordata; Lepidosauria; Squamata; Anolidae
Exons: 4
Source: RefSeq, a predicted model, not a curated record
GAGGGCGAAGUGCUGCCCCUGCGCGAUGGAGUGACGCGAAAGGGAGCGGUGGCGGGAGGGCAGGGCCAUCCCAAUCGUCUCUUCUGCGCCUGCGCCUCCAGCCCCGCAAGAGGAUUCCAUUGGGGCUCAGCUGUGGCUUGUAAACAAUCCUGGAGCUGGAAAAAUGGUCCUCGAUCCCAAAAGCUUGGCAUCUUUGCCCUACAGCAUGACAUACCCCCCUCCAUCUGUCAUUUGUGAGUGCUGGAGGAAAAAUGAACAGCAUACUAAAGAGACUAAGACAUAGAGCAAUGGAUGCAAACUGCAGGAAGAGAUUCCACCUAAACAUUAGGAAUAACUUUCUGAUGAGGCUGGCAAGAGACAAAUGAAGAAACUUUUGAUGUGGAAAGGUACAUUCAGCAAAGUUACAGCUUUACUUUUGCAUCUCUAGAAACACACACCUGCUGGAAGCGAAAUGAUUCUGAUCUCCUUUUCUGGUUUAAUUGCCAUUCCUUGAAACGCAGAACAGCUUCAUCUACAGAAAGCAUUCCCAGCUUCACUUGCUCCUGUAAGGUUAUUAAAAACCUUUGGCCAGGGGUUUUCAUCCCAGCAAAUGGAUCAUAUAUACUACUCGAAGAUGACUGGUUAGAGGAUGUAUGAUGUACUACCUCUGUGAAGGGAGAAAAAAAUUAGAUAAGAAUUUAAAAAAAAAAUUUACACUUCUGGGCAUAUGUAAUUAAAAGGCUUAACCAAAGGUGUCUUACCAAGAACUAUUGUAGUGCAACGGACAAUCUGUAAUGUGUCCUAAAGAAGGGUGACCAAUGUGGUAAAGGAUCAGGUCACCAAAAGUGCAUCUAUGGCACCAUCUACACUGCUAUAUAAUCCAGUUUCUGAAUGCAGAUUAACUGCAUUGAACUGGAUUAUAUAGCAGUAGUAGUUCAACCUAUAUUGUAGAAUUAAUGCACUUUACUUUCCAUGGCUCAACGUUAUGGAAUCCUGAAGUUUGUAGUUUGGUGGGGCACCAGGCUAAAGACUUCAUAAAACUACAACGUUCUUCAUUUUUAAGUGUUCAUUAUCACUUGUAAAGAUUGAGAAUAAUAAAUACUUCUUUGCAUGA